AGAUUGAACGCUGGCGGCAUGCUUUACACAUGCAAGUCGAACGGCAGCACGGGGGCAACCCUGGUGGCGAGUGGCGAACGGGUGAGUAAUGCAUCGGAACGUAUCUUUAAGUGGGGGAUAACGCAUCGAAAGAUGCGCUAAUACCGCAUAAUCUCUGAGGAGAAAAGCAGGGGAUCGCAAGACCUUGCGCUUUUGGAGCGGCCGAUGUCUGAUUAGCUAGUUGGUGGGUAAAAGGCUUACCAAGGCUUCGAUCAGUAGCUGGUCUGAGAGGACGACCAGCCACACUGGACUGAGACACGGCCAGAC
RNAcentral lists this ribosomal RNA (306 nucleotides) under uncultured soil bacterium. Its description in RNAcentral is "bacterial SSU rRNA". It matches the Rfam family "Bacterial small subunit ribosomal RNA", at positions 26 to 336 of the family's 1533-position model. The record is from RNAcentral.